GUUACAGUUCUUUGAGGAUCCUACAGCCUGCACAUGGAGACCAUGGUGACGACCCCAGUUGGCCCAUCCCAGAGACAGCCAUAGAGGCCCACGCAUAAACUGAUCCCCGGAGCAUUGCUAGUCACACAGUCUAUGUUAGGAACUUCUUUGGAACACAUAAUUUCAUAUUCAAAAUGUACGGAGUAGAAGGAAGAGAAAAGAAUAAGAUGAAAAGACUCCGAAGCUGAAAGCCAUUAGCGAAGACAGGUCUAAGUGGCUCAAUUCAUCUCGAUCCUGCAGCACGCUUUGAAGAUUUUACAUUUCCACCCGUGUUCACUUCUGAUCUCGGCAGAGAGCGCGUCUGUGUCCAUCCACAGGCGGCAUGGAGAGCCAGCAUGCUACAGAGCUGCAGGAGGGGAGAAGAGUCCUUUCAAGAUGGCAAUCCAUGAAGAUUCAGUGAACAGUGUCUCCUUGUAGCAUCUGCAAUACA
RNAcentral lists this long non-coding RNA (469 nucleotides) under Ursus maritimus (polar bear). Its description in RNAcentral is "lncRNA (ENSUMAG00000019459.1)". The record is from RNAcentral. Lineage: Eukaryota; Metazoa; Chordata; Mammalia; Carnivora; Ursidae.